UGCAAUGUAAAACAUAGUUGCGAAAGGAUGUCUACGAAAUUGCUACACAAUUGUUCAAAUUUCACAUGUCUUAAAAAAAUUUAAAAGAAGGAAAUACUUAAAAAGACGACAUUGCAUUGAACGUUUGAUACCUAGAGUAAUUUUCUGGACAGUAUAGCACUGAAUCCAAGUCAAAAUCUAACUGUUUGUGACAUGAAGACAAAUAUUUUUUUGCAAAAAAAGGAAUUAAAAUAAAAAAAGAAAAUUUUUCUUCUACUUCAAUUUUUUCUUAUGUUUGAAAUUGUGAUUGAAAAAGAAUGAAGAAAUAAAAAAUUUUCUAAUGUAGCAUAAGAAACGAUUUUCCAAUAUCAAAUGUUAGUAUAUCGCGAUUCGGCCCUCGAGCACAAACUUUUAUGGAAACAAUUGGUUCGAAACUUAUGAAUAACAAAUUUAGCGUAUAUCCACAUACUAUAAAAAAAAAACACUUACCUGACACAGAACAAUGAACUGACACCCUAGGACGCUGUCAUAGCAGAAGAGUGAAUUUAUCACAAAAAGAAGCUACGGGUACAGACUAGUUAUUUCUGAAUUUCAUGUUUGGCUGACUUGCAAUAUUAAGAGGUUCUACUUUACUCGAACAACUUUUUAAUUUACGAGGAUCAUAUGUUAACGAUCACACACCCUUGCUACUGUAUGCUGAACAAAACUAUUUACUUAACAUUGCUAGCGCUUGAGAAGGCUGCGGUUUAUAAAAUUGUUGCGAAAACAGUAAGAAGAGAAAAAGAGCCUUUUUGAAAAUAUCAUCAUGAAGAUCACCAACGGAAAGAGAAAAGUUUUCUGCGAUCUCAUUUACCGAAGUACGAUUUUGGAAGGUACAUCACUUAAAUGUAUAAGUGAUGUAGACUUUAAGUUUUUGAAUAAAGUGUAUUUAUGCGUAGAAUUGUUUAAAAACAAAAAAAAAACGUUUAUUCUUUUAGCAUACCUGUCGUCGACUUACUGAGAAGAUUUGAGAUGUUAUUGUAUAUACCACACACCAGGAUUAUUAUGGUCACGUAUGGAUGGAUAGUUGAAAGAUAUAGAAAAAGCAGUGUAGGAAAAAGAUGGACGUGACUUUUAUUAUAUUUCGUUAGAUUUUUUCCUUGUCUUACAUUGAUUCUAUACCAGUUGAUUCAGUAGCACAUGACAGUUUGAAAAUUUUAUUUUUUUUAUCCGGAGAAGAAAUCAAGAAAUGUACAGCUAAUGUGGUUGGAUACAAAAAAAAAAUUUGUAAUGUUUUGUCAUGAAAGUUCAUGAUAAAAAUCCAUAAACAAGUUUUUCUUCCAAAUAAAUGGGGCGUGUCCAAUCUCUACAAACAAAAUAGCUCAUUUUUGUUUUCAUAGAAUUUAUAGGGUUUUAAAUGUAUUUUCUUAAAAAAAAAUUCAUAUAGUUUUAAAUAAUAAAUUAAAAAUAAUAUUAUCAGUAGAGAACUUGAGUAAUUUUUUUUAUUUUUUUAUAAAAAUCUUAUUUAUAUUAAAAAAAAUCAAUUCAUAACAUCAAGUCAAA
Molecule: long non-coding RNA, 1521 nt
Organism: Hylaeus volcanicus
Lineage: Eukaryota; Metazoa; Arthropoda; Insecta; Hymenoptera; Colletidae
Exons: 2
Source: RefSeq, a predicted model, not a curated record